Molecule: ribosomal RNA, 1345 nt
Filed under: Exiguobacterium acetylicum
Lineage: Bacteria; Bacillati; Bacillota; Bacilli; Caryophanales
Description: bacterial LSU rRNA
Rfam family: Bacterial large subunit ribosomal RNA
Source: RNAcentral
GCGGAGUCCCGUAGGGACGUAGGUCACGAUUUCACACUGCCAAGAAAAGCCUCUAGUGAGGGGGAAGGCGCCAGUACCGUAAACCGACACAGGUAGGCGAGAUGAGAAUUCUAAGACGCGCGGGAUAACUCUCGUUAAGGAACUCGGCAAAAUGGUCCCGUAACUUCGGGAGAAGGGACGCUCUACAUGAGUAGAGCCGCAGUGAAUAGGCCCAAACGACUGUUUAGCAAAAACACAGGUCUCUGCUAAAUCGCAAGAUGACGUAUAGGGGCUGACGCCUGCCCGGUGCUGGAAGGUUAAGGGGAUGGGUUAGCGCAAGCGAAGCUUUGAACCGAAGCCCCAGUAAACGGCGGCCGUAACUAUAACGGUCCUAAGGUAGCGAAAUUCCUUGUCGGGUAAGUUCCGACCCGCACGAAAGGCGUAACGAUUUGGGCACUGUCUCAACGAGAGACCCGGUGAAAUCAUAGUACCUGUGAAGAUGCAGGUUACCCGCGACAGGACGGAAAGACCCCAUGGAGCUUUACUACAGCCUGAUAUUGAGGCUUUGUGCAUGAUGUACAGGAUAGGCGGGAGACGUCGAGCCCGGAGCGCCAGCUUCGGAGGAGUCACCCUUGGGAUACCGCCCUUCAUGCAUAGAGUCUCUAACUCGCAGCCGUCAUCCGGCUGGAGGACCGUGUCAGGCGGGUAGUUUGACUGGGGCGGUCGCCUCCUAAACAGUAACGGAGGCGCCCAAAGGUUCCCUCAGAAUGGUUGGAAAUCAUUCGUAGAGCGCAAAGGCAGAAGGGAGCUUGACUGCGAGACCUACAAGUCGAGCAGGGACGAAAGUCGGGCUUAGUGAUCCGGUGGUUCCGCAUGGAAGGGCCAUCGCUCAACGGAUAAAAGCUACCCUGGGGAUAACAGGCUGAUCUCCCCCAAGAGUCCACAUCGACGGGGAGGUUUGGCACCUCGAUGUCGGCUCAUCGCAUCCUGGGGCUGGAGUAGGUCCCAAGGGUUGGGCUGUUCGCCCAUUAAAGCGGUACGCGAGCUGGGUUCAGAACGUCGUGAGACAGUUCGGUCCCUAUCCGUCGUGGGCGCAGGAAAUUUGAGGAGAGCUGUCCUUAGUACGAGAGGACCGGGAUGGACGCACCGCUGGUGUACCAGUUGUUCCGCCAGGAGCAUCGCUGGGUAGCUACGUGCGGACGGGAUAAAUGCUGAAAGCAUCUAAGCAUGAAGCCCCCUCCAAGAUGAGAUUUCCCUUUGAGUAAUCAAGAAAGACCCCUCAGAGACGAUGAGGUAGAUAGGUCACGGGUGGAAGCAUGGCGACAUGUGGAGCUGAGUGAUACUAAUCGGUCGAGGCCUUGUUCUA